UCAUUUCCCCCUCGCAGUUUUGCUUUCCCUCUCUGCAAAAAUCUUUUCGCGCCGUGUUUUCCCCUUCGCGUUCCCGAACCCUAAGCCAUUUUUCUUUCCCUCUCCUCGACAAUAUCUUCACAUCAUGACACCAAAUGGAGCACUUGCGCGAGAUCUACAAGUGCCUCAAAACCGUAGUUGACUUCCUCCUCUAGCCUUUAGAAGCACGACCCCCAAGCCAUGGGAUCCUCCCUUUGACCCGUCGUAGCCCUCUCCCCUGAUCUCCUAUCCUAUCACCGGCCUCGAAGCCCUCACCUCCCACUCAUACCUCCGUUCCUUUCAUUUCCCCUUCAAUCGCGCCUCCAUCCCGGUCCCGUCCUCCUCCUUUCUGAUAUCAAGACCUACGACCUCCUUGACGAGCAAGUCCAUGACCCCUCCGAUGCGAAGCUGGUCGAGGAGUGGCGCAACGCCAUGGAUGCCUGGACAGAACACGUCAUCUCAUUAGCAUCCAGUAAAAUGAUAUUAGCAAGCAAGCCGAGCACCUUGUUACAUUGGUCGUGGCUGUACGUUGUCUAGACAAAUGAAGUGUGGGUCUGUCUUUGCUGGGGGUGAGUUGUGGAGAGUACAACUCUGAUUGUUUCACGACAUCUUAUUCUGUUUGGUUCCAAAAGAUAUUAUCAAUUAUUCAGGUUGGAAACUAUAUUCAUAACAUGACAAUAUUCUUUGGUGGUCUUAUCAUUGGUUUGAUCAAUUGUUGGCAGAUAGCACUUUUAACACUAGCAACUAGUCCUUUCAUUGUUGCAGUAGGAGGAAUAUCUAAUAUUUUUCUCCAUCGGCGAUUUCAUAUAUUAGAACAUUGUAUGCCUUUACAAAUGAUACUCUUGCUAAGUAUUCUUAUGCAACCUCACUUCAAGCUACACUAUGGAAGAUCUGCUACAUCUGAUCAGAUUGAAGAAGCUGUUAAAAUAGCUCAUGCACAUGAUUUCAUAACUUCUCUUGAAAUGGGAUACGAAGCUCAGAUGCACUUCCUUGCAUCAUUUCACGGGUAUGCAGGUUUCAAGUUGUUCUUGUAUAGUAUCAAAUGGACUGCAAGAAGUUCUUGCAAUUCAUUAAAGAGAAGAAGAAGAGAAUUCUGGAUCAGAAAGAGACCCCCUUGAAAUGGAAGCAGAAGCUUAAAGCUGCUGCUAAGGCGAAGGCUGAUGUAGAAGUAAGGGAGACAAAAUUAAAGGCUUCAACAAAGCACAAAAGAAUAUCCUACUCUGAAUCAGACAGUGGCAAUGAAGAUAACAUGUACAACAUAGUUUGAAUCAGACAGUGACAGUGAUCAGCAUAUUUUGGAUUUCGAUUACAUGUACAACUAUUAUUUUUUCAUUUUGAUGUGUGUAGUUAAUUUUCAAAAUUUGAACAUAACAUUUUCAUGGAUUGAAUGUAGUAAAAAUUUAGUUUUGUAUUGGUGGUUUGUUUAUAUUA
RNA transcript from Zingiber officinale, 1449 nucleotides. It is a transcript of the gene named ABC transporter B family member 6-like, with no coding region annotated. The transcript is spliced from 6 exons. The record is from RefSeq and is a predicted model, not a curated record. Lineage: Eukaryota; Viridiplantae; Streptophyta; Magnoliopsida; Zingiberales; Zingiberaceae.